GGGGGUGUUCCGGAUUCGACCUUGAAUUGGAGCAUGGGGCUGCAUGUCGAUGAUGAUAGUUACCAUCGGAAAAAUAUUAUCACAUACUUAUUAUAAGUGCCAACGAUGAAGCAUUACCUAUGGCUGCAUAAACCAGCCAUCGUCUCUACUCUGACACCUGCUAGGGGAUAGAGGCGCCGACAGCAGGCAUAGUUCCCAUGGGGUGUCCAGCCGGGAGCCGUAUCAUCACUCUGGAUACUAGUAAACCGAUAGCGGGUCACGCGGCGAUCGGAGAGCGAAAUUAAAUGCGCGACUAAACAUGUAGACGUCGUAUGUGAAGGCUCAAGGGACGCGGGUUCGACUCCCGCCACCUCCACCA
RNAcentral lists this transfer-messenger RNA (358 nucleotides) under Dehalococcoidia. RNAcentral's name for it is "GCA-2712585 sp913052045 Standard tmRNA". It matches the Rfam family "transfer-messenger RNA". From Rfam's summary of the family: Bacterial tmRNA, also known as 10Sa RNA or SsrA, is named for its dual tRNA and mRNA-like properties. Its role is to liberate the mRNA from a stalled ribosome. To accomplish this part of the tmRNA is used as a reading frame that ends in a translation stop signal. The record is from RNAcentral. Lineage: Bacteria; Bacillati; Chloroflexota.